This 468-nucleotide ribosomal RNA is filed under the name uncultured bacterium. RNAcentral's name for it is "partial 16S ribosomal RNA". It matches the Rfam family "Bacterial small subunit ribosomal RNA", at positions 28 to 507 of the family's 1533-position model. The record is from RNAcentral.
GACGAACGCUGGCGGCGUGCUUAACACAUGCAAGUCGAACGGAAAGGCCCUGCUUUUGUGUGUUUGUCGUUUGGCGAACGGGGGAGUAACACGCGUGUAACCCCCCCCUGACUUUGUGGUAACUCUAGGAAACUGGGGCUAUAACCGGAUAGGAGCUCUUGCUCCACGGGGGGGGUUGGAAAGUUUCGGCGGUGGUGGCUGGACUCGCUGGUUAUCCGCUUGUUUGUGUGGUAGUGGCAUACCAGGGUUUUGACGGGUAGCCGGCCUAAGAGGGUGACCGGGCACAUUGGGACUAAGAUACGGACCAGAAUCGUACGGGAGGCAGCAGUGGAGAACAUUGCACAGUGGGCGGGAGCCAGAUGCAGAAACGCCGCGUGCGGGAUGACGGCCUUCGGGUUGUAAACCGAUUUCGCAUGUGACGAAGCGUGAGUGACGGUAAUGGGUAAAGAAGCACCGGCUAACUACGUG